This 364-nucleotide transfer-messenger RNA is filed under the name Kingella sp. (in: b-proteobacteria). It matches the Rfam family "transfer-messenger RNA". Rfam says of the family: Bacterial tmRNA, also known as 10Sa RNA or SsrA, is named for its dual tRNA and mRNA-like properties. Its role is to liberate the mRNA from a stalled ribosome. Lineage: Bacteria; Pseudomonadati; Pseudomonadota; Betaproteobacteria; Neisseriales; Neisseriaceae. The record is from RNAcentral.
GGGGGCGACCUUGGUUUCGACGGGGGUUGCGAAGCAAAUGCGGGCAUACCGAGUUUUCAGUAACUCGUAAAACACUGAAUCUAAAUAGUCGCAAACGACGAAACUUACGCUUUGGCUGCUUAAUGCCAAGCUGUUGCAGCAGCUCGCCAAUGGGCUGUGCGGGGCAACUCGCCGCAACAUCAUUUCACAUUGGCUGGUUUCCUGUCGGGUUGCUUGGCAGGGGGCGAGAUUAAAGGCAACUGGUUUCUUGAAAGCCUGUUGGUCGGCGCGAUAGAAACAAGAUUUCUAAAUUGACACAACUAAGUAUGUAGAACGCUUUGUAGAGGACUUUCGGACGGGGGUUCAAUUCCCCCCGCCUCCACCA